RNAcentral lists this ribosomal RNA (290 nucleotides) under Bacillus swezeyi. RNAcentral describes it as "partial 16S ribosomal RNA". It matches the Rfam family "Bacterial small subunit ribosomal RNA", at positions 1 to 280 of the family's 1533-position model. Lineage: Bacteria; Bacillati; Bacillota; Bacilli; Caryophanales; Bacillaceae. The record is from RNAcentral.
AUUUAUGGAGAGUUUGAUCCUGGCUCAGGACGAACGCUGGCGGCGUGCCUAAUACAUGCAAGUCGAGCGAACCGACGGGAGCUUGCUCCCUUAGGUUAGCGGCGGACGGGUGAGUAACACGUGGGUAACCUGCCUGUAAGACUGGGAUAACUCCGGGAAACCGGGGCUAAUACCGGAUGCUUGAUUGAACCGCAUGGUUCAAUCAUAAAAGGCGGCUUCGGCUGCCGUUUACAGAUGGACCCGCGGCGCAUUAGCUAGUUGGUGAGGUAAUGGCUCACCAAGGCGACGAU